Long non-coding RNA from Canis lupus familiaris (dog), 1542 nucleotides. RefSeq lists it as uncharacterized. The record is from RefSeq and is a predicted model, not a curated record. NCBI's taxonomy places the organism in Eukaryota, Metazoa, Chordata, Mammalia, Carnivora, Canidae. The transcript has 3 exons.
UCCUUAUCUAGCUGCUUAACUGACCAGAAACCUUGAAAACAAAUUCCCUGUUUAAAAGAAGUGAAAACUGCUGCCUAAACAACUGAGAAAGAUUUCAGAAGGCAUCGGUGAGCUGGCAAGGAGCAAAAACACGUGAAGGCCACAGACUGAAUGGAAGCAGCUUGACCUGCGUCUUCUGGCCAAGGUUUGUGGAUAAGUGUGCCCAUUCCUGCCCAUUCCGAUCUGCCUUCCUCGCUGACCACAAUGUCCAUAGAGAGGGCAGGCUGGACUGCAGUUCUACCGAAGGCUCAGAGAGCACACCUUCCUUGCCAACUCAUCCAUCAGCAAUAAACGGAACUUCUUGACAGUUUUAAAUUUCCUGCCAGGAGCAGCUGGCACAUGAAGAUACGUGUUCUCCUCCAGCAGGAAAAUGUGUGAAUCAGAACUCCCUCUGCUGCUGCAGGAAGCACAGUCCAAAAACCUCCGUCACCUGAAACCAGAGGCAGAAGCCCGAAAAAUAACCCGGUGAUGAUUUUAUCAGCGAUCGGCAACAAGACCCUGAAAACAGGAAUGUGGAUGUCCUGUAGGGUGGAGGUUUCAGGGCUCCCCCACCAAGCUCAGCCGGCCCCCCUCCCCCGAACCAAACCAUUUUUUGCUUUCUCUCCACUUGUCCCUGGCUCUGUUUGAGAUUAGAAGUAUUUCUGACAUGCUGUGCAAAUAUAUGCAAAUUCGAUGUGAGUUCUUGUCAACUCCACUUUGCCCAGUGUGGCUGGGCUGCUUGUGCGGCGCUGGGCGACUGGCCUCCCGGAAUCCCAGCAAUAUGGCCUGCCCGGCCCGUGCCAGGAGCUAUUAGCAGCCUUGACGAAUGGGAUGAAGGAGCUCAGAGAGCCCCACCGUCCGUGAGUAAUAAAUACCGGGGCGCUUAGGGUGCGGAGAAGCACGAGGUACUGUCAGAGGCAGGAGGGAAAGAGCUGGCUUUCUCUGAUUUUUUAAAAUAUCUGUUUGGUUUCUGAGUCUUACUCUCAUUUUUAUGCAGCCUUGGUGGAAAUUUGCUAUUCUGACAAGAACAAUUAUUUGAUGACAUCCUUAUUCCUGGGUCUUUUUUCAGAGCUGGUCUUCCGAGGCUGCUGAGGUUGUCCAGAGGCAGGCAUCCUGAUGCACGUGAGGCUGGAGGCAGAGACCGUGUAGAGAUACACACUCUAAUGUCUAUCCUCACAGGGCCUACCCCUCAUUUGCAUCUGAAUUCCAAAUAGCCAACAUAUGGCACUUAAAAUGGACAUCCUCGAGCAACUGGAAAUCUGUCUGUUUUCUUGGGAUCGUCAUGGGUCAUCCCCCUUUUUCUAUCUCUGGGGUCUCUCCCUCCUUUUUCAGUUACCUUAGUUGUCUGUUCUUUGUAGGCUGAAUAUGAGAGGAAGAGUGGGUUCUGGUUAGGUUGGGGAGGCCAGAGGAAAGGGGGCAGGUGGAGAAGUCUCUGUACUCAUGUGACUACUGCUACCUUCAAACUUCGCUCUUCAUAAACCAGCCCUGCUAGAGAGCAGAGGAUCCUUUGUGCAAUCUGUGAUC